GAUCCUGGCUCAGGAUGAACGCCAGCGGCAGGCUUAACACAUGCAAGUCGAGGGGCAGCAUAAUGGAUAGCAAUAUCUAUGGUGGCGACCGGCGCACGGGUGCGUAACGCGUAUGCAACCUGCCUUUAACAGGGGGAUAACACUGAGAAAUUGGUACUAAUACCCCAUAAUAUCAUAGAAGGCAUCUUUUAUGGUUGAAAAUUCCGAUGGUUAGAGAUGGGCAUGCGUUGUA
This 232-nucleotide ribosomal RNA is filed under the name uncultured bacterium. RNAcentral describes it as "partial 16S ribosomal RNA". It matches the Rfam family "Bacterial small subunit ribosomal RNA", at positions 15 to 240 of the family's 1533-position model. The record is from RNAcentral.